Molecule: ribosomal RNA, 295 nt
Filed under: uncultured bacterium
Lineage: Bacteria
Description: partial 16S ribosomal RNA
Rfam family: Bacterial small subunit ribosomal RNA
Source: RNAcentral
UCCUCCUACGGGGCGCAGCAGUAGGGAAACUUUCACAAUGGACGAAAGUCUGAUGGAGCAACGCCGCGUGAGUGAAGAAGGGUUUCGGCUCGUAAAGUUCUGUUGGUAGUGAAGAAAGAUAGAGGUAGUAACUGGCCUUUAUUUGACGGUAAUUACUUAGAAAGUCACGGCUAACUACGUGCCAGCAGCCGCGGUAAUACGUAGGUGGCAAGCGUUGUCCGGAUUUAUUGGGCGUAAAGCGAGUGCAGGCGGCUCAAUAAGUCUGAUGUGAAAGCCUUCGGCUCAACCGGAGAAU